RNAcentral lists this transfer RNA (87 nucleotides) under Deltaproteobacteria bacterium. RNAcentral describes it as "tRNA-Leu". It matches the Rfam family "tRNA". Rfam says of the family: Transfer RNA (tRNA) molecules are approximately 80 nucleotides in length. Their secondary structure includes four short double-helical elements and three loops (D, anti-codon, and T loops). The record is from RNAcentral. Lineage: Bacteria; Pseudomonadati; Myxococcota; Myxococcia.
GCCCGGGUGGUGGAAUUGGUAGACACGACGGACUUAAAAUCCGUUGACUUACAAGUCAUGGGGGUUCAAGUCCCCCCCCGGGCACCA